CGCCUUUUCUACCGUUGGAAGAAAUGCAAGAUGCGGCGACUUGACUUCAGACACCGAGAGAGGCUGGCGGCCCAGGUCUUGUGGCCACAUCUGUCCAAGCUCCUACUCUGAUUGAACAGUUGGAUGAUCAGACUGAUGAUGAAAAGUGCUACACAGUUCUCACACAUCUUCUGACUCCGAAGCCGCUGCAGUGUAAAAUCUGAGAUGUCUUUUCUGGUUGAUUUUGUGCAGGUAUUUUUCAAAGGAUAGUUACUUUUAAAAACGUCUUUUAAUCUUUAAAAACACUUUCAUGCAGAGCCUCUGUUAGGACCUCAUUGCGAUACAGAGUUAUGACCUUGUCACCAAAAUGUCAAUGACCAUAUUUUAACCUGCUAUUUAAGGCUGCCAUAGCCAUAUUCUUAUAACAAUGCAGUUAAGUUCAAGAGAACUAUAGUUU
This is a long non-coding RNA of Engraulis encrasicolus (European anchovy), 436 nucleotides long. RefSeq lists it as uncharacterized. The record is from RefSeq and is a predicted model, not a curated record. The transcript has 3 exons. Lineage: Eukaryota; Metazoa; Chordata; Actinopteri; Clupeiformes; Engraulidae.